CUACUUAGCUGGCAGGGGAGAUACCAUGAUCAUGAAGGUGGCUAUCCUCCGGUAAGACUUAUCCAUUGCCCUCCAGAUGUGCUGACCGCUGCAAUUUCUGCAAACAGAAGAAACUUGCAUGUGUAAUUUGUGGUAGUGGAGAGCUAUUUUCAAGCUCUCCC
Apodemus sylvaticus (European woodmouse) is the source of this 161-nucleotide small nuclear RNA. RefSeq annotates it as U1 spliceosomal RNA. The record is from RefSeq and is a predicted model, not a curated record. Lineage: Eukaryota; Metazoa; Chordata; Mammalia; Rodentia; Muridae. The transcript has a single exon.